Molecule: ribosomal RNA, 336 nt
Filed under: Neisseria gonorrhoeae
Lineage: Bacteria; Pseudomonadati; Pseudomonadota; Betaproteobacteria; Neisseriales; Neisseriaceae
Description: bacterial SSU rRNA
Rfam family: Bacterial small subunit ribosomal RNA
Source: RNAcentral
GGAGGAGUGCGUUCGGGAGCCGUAACACAGGUGCUGCAUGGCUGUCGUCAGCUCGUGUCGUGAGAUGUUGGGUUAAGUCCCGCAACGAGCGCAACCCUUGUCAUUAGUUGCCAUCAUUCGGUUGGGCACUCUAAUGAGACUGCCGGUGACAAGCCGGAGGAAGGUGGGGAUGAUGUCAAGUCCUCAUGGCCCUUAUGACCAGGGCUUCACACGUCAUACAAUGGUCGGUACAGAGGGUAGCCAAGCCGCGAGGCGGAGCCAAUCUCACAAAACCGAUCGUAGUCCGGAUUGCACUCUGCAACUCGAGUGCAUGAAGUCGGAAUCGCUAGUAAUCGA